Molecule: ribosomal RNA, 402 nt
Filed under: uncultured bacterium
Lineage: Bacteria
Description: bacterial SSU rRNA
Rfam family: Bacterial small subunit ribosomal RNA
Source: RNAcentral
UGGGGAAUUUUGGACAAUGGGCGCAAGCCUGAUCCAGCCAUGCCGCGUGAGUGAAGAAGGCCUUCGGGUUGUAAAGCUCUUUCAGUUGGGAAGAAACGAUUGCAACUAAUAAUUGUAAUUAAUGACGGUACCGACAGAAGAAGCACCGGCUAACUACGUGCCAGCAGCCGCGGUAAUACGUAGGGUGCGAGCGUUAAUCGGAAUUACUGGGCGUAAAGGGUGCGCAGGCGGUUUUGUAAGUCAGAUGUGAAAUCCCCGGGCUUAACCUGGGAAUGGCGUUUGAAACUGCAAGGCUAGAGUGUAGCAGAGGGGAUGGAAUUCCGCGUGUAGCAGUGAAAUGCGUAGAUAUGCGGAGGAACACCGAUGGCGAAGGCAGCUCCCUGGGCUAACACUGACGCUCAU